This 433-nucleotide unclassified non-coding RNA is filed under the name soil metagenome. Its description in RNAcentral is "partial contains 5.8S ribosomal RNA, internal transcribed spacer 2, and large subunit ribosomal RNA". The stretch from base 1 to 120 matches the Rfam family "5.8S ribosomal RNA", at positions 35 to 154 of the family's 154-position model. The record is from RNAcentral.
GAUGAAGAACGCAGCGAAAUGCGAUACGUAAUGUGAAUUGCAGAAUUCAGUGAAUCAUCGAAUCUUUGAACGCAUAUUGCGCUCUCUGGUAUUCCGGAGAGCAUGCUUGUUUGAGUAUCAGUAAACACCUCAACUUCCAUAUCUUUUUUGAAAUGGGAGUUGGACUUGAGUGAUCCCAACGCUUUUCCUCACCGAAAAGUGGCGGGUUACUUGAAAUGCAGGUGCAGCUGGACUUUUCUCUGAGCUAUAAGCAUAUCUAUUUAGUCUGCCUAAAAAACAGAUUAUUACCUUUGCUGCAGCUAACAUAAAGGAGAUUAGUUCUUGUGCUGACUGAUGCAGGAUUCACAAAGACAGGCUUCGGCCGACUUUGUAAACUCGAUCUCAAAUCAAGUAAGACUACCCGCUGAACUUUAGCAUAUCAAUAAGCGGAGGA